UUCGGGAACCGUGAGACAGGUGCUGCAUGGCUGUCGUCAGCUCGUGUUGUGAAAUGUUGGGUUAAGUCCCGCAACGAGCGCAACCCUUAUCCUUUGUUGCCAGCGAUUAGGUCGGGAACUCAAAGGAGACUGCCAGUGAUAAACUGGAGGAAGGUGGGGAUGACGUCAAGUCAUCAUGGCCCUUACGACCAGGGCUACACACGUGCUACAAUGGCGCAUACAAAGAGAAGCGACCUCGCGAGAGCAAGCGGACCUCAUAAAGUGCGUCGUAGUCCGGAUUGGAGUCUGCAACUCGACUCCAUGAAGUCGGAAUCGCUAGUAAUCGUGGAUCAGAAUGCCACGGUGAAUACGUUCCCGGGCCUUGUACACACCGCCCGUCACACCAUGGGAGUGGGUUGCAAAAGAAGUAGGUAGCUUAACCUUCGGGAGGGCGCUUACCACUUUGUGAUUCAUGACUGGGGUGAAGUCGUAACAAGGUAACCGUAGGGGAACCUGCGGUUGGAUCACCUCCUUACCUGAAAGAAGC
Molecule: ribosomal RNA, 526 nt
Filed under: Salmonella enterica subsp. enterica serovar Brandenburg
Lineage: Bacteria; Pseudomonadati; Pseudomonadota; Gammaproteobacteria; Enterobacterales; Enterobacteriaceae
Description: bacterial SSU rRNA
Rfam family: Bacterial small subunit ribosomal RNA
Source: RNAcentral